Molecule: ribosomal RNA, 617 nt
Filed under: Bacillus sp. SUCR29
Lineage: Bacteria; Bacillati; Bacillota; Bacilli; Caryophanales; Bacillaceae
Description: partial 16S ribosomal RNA
Rfam family: Bacterial small subunit ribosomal RNA
Source: RNAcentral
UUCGGAUCUAAAGCUCUGUUGUUAGGGAAGAACAAGUACCGUUCGAAUAGGGCGGUACCUUGACGGUACCUAACCAGAAAGCCACGGCUAACUACGUGCCAGCAGCCGCGGUAAUACGUAGGUGGCAAGCGUUGUCCGGAAUUAUUGGGCGUAAAGGGCUCGCAGGCGGUUUCUUAAGUCUGAUGUGAAAGCCCCCGGCUCAACCGGGGAGGGUCAUUGGAAACUGGGGAACUUGAGUGCAGAAGAGGAGAGUGGAAUUCCACGUGUAGCGGUGAAAUGCGUAGAGAUGUGGAGGAACACCAGUGGCGAAGGCGACUCUCUGGUCUGUAACUGACGCUGAGGAGCGAAAGCGUGGGGAGCGAACAGGAUUUAGAUACCCUGGUAGUCCACGCCGUAAACGAUGAGUGCUAAAGUGUAAGGGGGUUUCCCCCCCCCUUAGUGCUGCAGCUAACGCAUUUAAGCACUCCCCCUGGGGGAGUUACGGUCGCAAGAACUGAAAACUCAAAGGAAUUUGACGGGGGGCCCCGCCAAGCGGGGGGAGCAUGUGGUUUUAUUUCAAACAACGCGAAAAAACCUUACCAGGUCUUGGACAUCCUCUGAAAAUCCUAAGAUAGGAC